GUGCUCGCUUCGGCAGCACAUAUACUAAAAUUGGAAUGAUACAGAGCAGAUUAGCAUGGCCCCUGCACAAGGAUGACACGCAAAUUCGUGAAACAUUCUAUAUUUUU
Molecule: small nuclear RNA, 107 nt
Filed under: Neogale vison (American mink)
Lineage: Eukaryota; Metazoa; Chordata; Mammalia; Carnivora; Mustelidae
Source: RNAcentral